AUAUGGUAGGAGAGCGUUCUGUAAGCCUGCGAAGGUGUCUUGUAAAGGAUGCUGGAGGUAUCAGAAGUGCGAAUGCUGACAUGAGUAGCGAUAAUGCGGGUGAAAAGCCCGCACGCCGUAAGCCCAAGGUUUCCUGUUCAACGUUCAUCGGAGCAGGGUGAGUCGGCCCCUAAGGCGAGGCAGAGAUGCGUAGCUGAUGGGAAGCAGGUUAAUAUUCCUGCACCGUCGUAUGAUGCGAUUGGGGGGACGGAUCGCGGAAGGUUGUCUAGCUGUUGGAAUAGCUAGUUUUUGACUCAUAGAAGGUGCUUAGGCAAAUCCGGGCACGUAAUUCAAGGGGUCGAGACGAGUCGCCAUGUGCGACGAAGCAAUCGGAAGUGGUUCCAAGAAAAGCCUCUAAGCUUCAGUCAUACGAGACCGUACCGCAAACCGACACAGGUGGGCGAGAUGAGUAUUCUAAGGCGCUUGAGAGAACUCGGGAGAAGGAACUCGGCAAAUUGGUACCGUAACUUCGGGAUAAGGUACGCCCUAGUAGUUUGACCACUUUACUGUGGAAGGAUGAACGGGUUGCAAUAAAAUGGUGGCUGCGACUGUUUAAUAAAAACACAGCACUCUGCAAACACGAAAGUGGACGUAUAGGGUGUGACGCCUGCCCGGUGCUGGAAGAUUAAAUGAUGGGGUGCAAGCUCUUGAUUGAAGUCCCAGUAAACGGCGGCCGUAACUAUAACGGUCCUAAGGUAGCGAAAUUCCUUGUCGGGUAAGUUCCGACCUGCACGAAUGGCGUAACGAUGGCCACACUGUCUCCUCCCGAGACUCAGCGAAGUUGAAAUGUUUGUGAUGAUGCAAUCUACCCGCGGCUAGACGGAAAGACCCCAUGAACCUUUACUGUAGCUUUGCAUUGGACUUUGAAUCAAUCUGUGUAGGAUAGGUGGGAGGCUUUGAAGUAGGGACGCCAGUCUCUAUGGAGCCAUCCUUGAAAUACCACCCUGGUUCAUUUGAGGUUCUAACCUUGGUCCGUUAUCCGGAUCGGGGACAGUGCAUGGUAGGCAGUUUGACUGGGGCGGUCUCCUCCUAAAGUGUAACGGAGGAGUUCGAAGGUACGCUAGGUACGGUCGGACAUCGUGCUAAUAGUGCAAUGGCAUAAGCGUGCUUAACUGCGAGACCGACAAGUCGAGCAGGUACGAAAGUAGGACAUAGUGAUCCGGUGGUUCUGUAUGGAAGGGCCAUCGCUCAACGGAUAAAAGGUACUCUGGGGAUAACAGGCUGAUUCCUCCCAAGAGUUCAUAUCGACGGGGGAGUUUGGCACCUCGAUGUCGGCUCAUCACAUCCUGGGGCUGUAGCCGGUCCCAAGGGUAUGGCUGUUCGCCAUUUAAAGUGGUACGUGAGCUGGGUUUAAAACGUCGUGAGACAGUUUGGUCCCUAUCUGCCGUGGGCGUUGGAAAUUUGAAGGGGGCUGCUCCUAGUACGAGAGGACCGGAGUGGACGAACCUCUGGUGUACCGGUUGUCACGCCAGUGGCAUUGCCGGGUAGCUAAGUUCGGAAGAGAUAACCGCUGAAAGCAUCUAAGCGGGAAACUUGCCUUGAGAUGAGAUUUCCCGGAGCCUUGAGCUCCUUGAAGGGUCGUUCGAGACCAGGACGUUGAUAGGUCAGGUGUGGAAGUGCAGUAAUGCAUUAAGCUAACUGAUACUAAUUGCCCGUAAGGCUUGUCCCUAUAACCUU
RNAcentral lists this ribosomal RNA (1716 nucleotides) under Massilia aurea. RNAcentral's name for it is "partial 23S ribosomal RNA". It matches the Rfam family "Bacterial large subunit ribosomal RNA", at positions 1223 to 2925 of the family's 2925-position model. The record is from RNAcentral. Lineage: Bacteria; Pseudomonadati; Pseudomonadota; Betaproteobacteria; Burkholderiales; Oxalobacteraceae.